Molecule: long non-coding RNA, 540 nt
Filed under: Macaca fascicularis (crab-eating macaque)
Lineage: Eukaryota; Metazoa; Chordata; Mammalia; Primates; Cercopithecidae
Description: lncRNA (ENSMFAG00000063060.1)
Source: RNAcentral
AAAACUAAUUGUUAGCUAUAACUAGUUUUAAUCUAAAACUAGAGAAUCCUUUUUGUUUGUUUGUUUGUUUCUGAGACGGAGUCUCUCUCUGUUGCCAGGCUGGAGUGCAGUGGUGCGAUCUCGGCUCACGACAAUCUCCACCUCCCAGGUUCAAGCGAUUCUCCUGCCUCAGCCUCCCAAGUAACUGGGAUUACAGGCACGUGCCACCACACCCAGUUAAUUUUUUUUUUUUUGUAUUUUUAGUAGAGACGGGGUUUCACCAAGUUGGCUGGGAUGGUGUCGAUCUCCUGACCUCGUGAUCCUCCCUCUUUGGCUUCCCAAGGUGCUGGGAUUACAGGCAUGAGCCACCGUGCCUGGCUGGUAAUCAUAUUUUUUGAGCUCGUUCUGCUUUCUGUUUUCUCUGAAAGAGCCGUGAAUGAUGAGACGACAAAAUAUUGGAUUAUUUGUGCUCUUGAAACAGAUGCCACCUGAGUUGUGACAGACCACCAGCAGAGGAUGUAACUCACAUCAAAAAUUAAGGAUUAUCUGGAAUGAUCAAAG